UCUCCAGUGGCUUAGUGGUUCGAGCGUCCGCCUCGGAUGCGGACGAUCGUGGGUUCCAUCCGCGGUCGAGUCCUUUUAAAGAA
Potamilus streckersoni is the source of this 83-nucleotide non-coding RNA. NCBI's taxonomy places the organism in Eukaryota, Metazoa, Mollusca, Bivalvia, Unionida, Unionidae. The record is from the annotation of a GenBank genome assembly.